AUGUCACAAUCAGUGGAUUUGCCGGGGCGUCUAAUUUGGCUUUUAUACGUGAUAUUGUGCCGUUCGCCAGUAGCAAGCUCUCUUGACUUGAGAUCAUUUGACAUCAUACUGGCUUUUAAGGGAAUGGAGAGCAGAGUGGGUGUUUCAGGCACAACUCCCAACUACUUCCAAGGUGCAUAGGGAGAGGGAAAUAAGUCUAAAAUGGCCAAAACUCUAGCAACACUUGUAGUAUAUAGAACAACUUUAUUGUAAAACUGACGUGUUUCAGCUUGUGGCCUUCAUCAGUGUCAGUGGAAUGGAGAGCCUCAGAGUCUAAAAUGGAGGAAGUAGCUUAUUAGCUGUGUUGCACUAAACUACUUUUAACUUUUAUUUACCUUCUCUGUCCGCAUAUAAACUGCUCCACAAAAGUAGAAUAGUUCGAAGUCAGCUAUGAGACAAGAGUCAAAGGUACAAACAUGUCUAUUGAAUGAACAGUAAACUUAUUGUCAUGUUAGUGGCCGAGCUAACAAACUUGCUAAGUGGCAUUUAGCUUGCUAACAUUUAGCAAGCUGACUAGCUCAGAAAGGUUUAUUUAAUUCAGUAAAGAGUUAUUAUAGACAGGACACUGUAGAGAAAAUAAAAAGAAGUUUGGAAAGCAACAGUAUUAUGACUGACUGGCGCUUUUAGUCUGUCCCUCAAGUCUUUCUAAAUUCCCAACCCGUACUGUGGUACUUAGCCCUAAGCCAAUUCAUUACCUCACCUAUGAGAUGUGGGAUUGUUCUUUGUAAUGAAAGAACAUGUCGCCCACAACAGUGUAGCUCAUUUUAUAUAGAGCUCUUUAGUGAGGAGAAAUAAACUAAAUCAGGCGUUGGCUUCACAAGAAAUACAAUCAUUCAAUGUUGAUUUUAGUCUUCUCUUAGGAUUUGUUGACAACGAGAAAAUGAUACAGUAGAAUAUUGCCAGACAUAUCAUUUAAGUAAAAUUCAACACAGUUAAAACAAACAGAAAAAAAGUGAGUAAAGUCCAAACCGAUGGAGAGUUUCACAGUGAGACAUCAUGAAUGGCAAAACAAUCUGAAUCCAUAAUCUCACUCAUUACACGUUGUGUUUUUUAAGCAGGGGGUGACACUGACCCACUCUGAGACCCCCUCCCGUUGCAAUCCCCACGUUCCUUGUACUUUUGGACACGAUCGCUCCUUCCUCCACUUCAGCCUCCUCCUCCUCCUCCUCCUGCAUCUCCUCUCCCUGCAGCCUCUCGCUCCUCCACCGGUCUGGAGGGAGGGGGGUACAUGCCAGCAAGGAGAUCUCUGAUGGGUACUCACACACCUGCUCCAGCUGGUCCUCGUUGAAACACACCUUUCCCUGUAGACAUGAGUAAAGAGAGGAUUAUUUUACUUUUAAGUGGCUCCAGUCAAACAUGUUUUUUGAUUAGCUUUUCAUUA
RNAcentral lists this long non-coding RNA (1420 nucleotides) under Sander lucioperca (pikeperch). Its description in RNAcentral is "lncRNA (ENSSLUG00000006587.1)". The record is from RNAcentral. Lineage: Eukaryota; Metazoa; Chordata; Actinopteri; Perciformes; Percidae.